RNAcentral lists this ribosomal RNA (495 nucleotides) under uncultured bacterium. RNAcentral describes it as "partial 16S ribosomal RNA". It matches the Rfam family "Bacterial small subunit ribosomal RNA", at positions 28 to 507 of the family's 1533-position model. The record is from RNAcentral.
GACGAACGCUGGCGGCGUGCCUAAUACAUGCAAGUAGAACGCUGAAGGAGGAGCUUGCUUCCCUGGAUGAGUUGCGAACGGGUGAGUAACGCGUAGGUAACCUGCCUGGUAGCGGGGGAUAACUAUUGGAAACGAUAGCUAAUACCGCAUAAUAGCAGUUGUUGCAUGACAACUGUUUGAAAGGUGCAAUUGCACCACUACCAGAUGGACCUGCGUUGUAUUAGCUAGUUGGUGGGGUAACGGCUCACCAAGGCGACGAUACAUAGCCGACCUGAGAGGGUGAUCGGCCACACUGGGACUGAGACACGGCCCAGACUCCUACGGGAGGCAGCAGUAGGGAAUCUUCGGCAAUGGACGGAAGUCUGACCGAGCAACGCCGCGUGAGUGAAGAAGGUUUUCGGAUCGUAAAGCUCUGUUGUAAGAGAAGAACGAGUGUGAGAGUGGAAAGUUCACACUGUGACGGUAUCUUACCAGAAAGGGACGGCUAACUACGUG